GACGAACGCUGGCGGCGUGCUUAACACAUGCAAGUCGAACGGAAAGGCCCUGCUUUUGUGGGGUGCUCGAGUGGCGAACGGGUGAGUAACACGUGAGUAACCUGCCCUUGACUUUGGGAUAACUUCAGGAAACUGGGGCUAAUACCGGAUAGGAUCUCCUGCUGCAUGGUGGGGGUUGGAAAGUUUCGGCGGUUGGGGAUGGACUUGCGGCUUAUCAGCUUGUUGGUGGGGUAGUGGCUUACCAAGGCUUUGACGGGUAGCCGGCCUGAGAGGGUGACCGGCCACAUUGGGACUGAGAUACGGCCCAGACUCCUACGGGAGGCAGCAGUGGGGAAUAUUGCACAAUGGGCGGAAGCCUGAUGCAGCAACGCCGCGUGCGGGAUGACGGCCUUCGGGUUGUAAACCGCUUUCGCCUGUGACGAAGCGUGAGUGACGGUAAUGGGUAAAGAAGCACCGGCUAACUACGUG
This 468-nucleotide ribosomal RNA is filed under the name uncultured bacterium. Its description in RNAcentral is "partial 16S ribosomal RNA". It matches the Rfam family "Bacterial small subunit ribosomal RNA", at positions 28 to 507 of the family's 1533-position model. The record is from RNAcentral.